This 209-nucleotide ribosomal RNA is filed under the name uncultured bacterium. RNAcentral describes it as "partial 16S ribosomal RNA". It matches the Rfam family "Bacterial small subunit ribosomal RNA", at positions 568 to 775 of the family's 1533-position model. The record is from RNAcentral.
UGCGUAGGCGGCGCGGUAAGUCGGGUGUGAAAUCUCGGAGCUUAACUCCGAAACUGCAUUCGAUACUGCCGUGCUUGAGGACUGGAGAGGAGACUGGAAUUUACGGUGUAGCGGUGAAAUGCGUAGAUAUCGUAAGGAAGACCAGUGGCGAAGGCGGGUCUCUGGACAGUUCCUGACGCUGAGGCACGAAGGUCAGGGGGAGCAAACGG